GAUUAAACUUCUCUUCGGAGGAGAUAUAAAGUGGCGUACGGGNUAGUAACACGUAAGUAAUCUACCCUCGAGUGGGGAAUAACAUCGGGAAACCGAUGCUAAUACCGCAUAAUGCAGCGGCACCGCAAGGUGACAGUUGUUAAAGGAGCAAUUCGCUUGAGGAGGAGCUUGCGGCAGAUUAGCUAGUUGGUAAGGUAAUGGCUUACCAAGGCAACGAUCUGUAGCCGGUCUAAGAGGACGGUCGGUCACACUGACACUGAAUAACGGGUCAGACUCCUACGGGAGGCAGCAGUCGGGAAUUUUGGGCAAUGGGCGCAAGCCUGACCCAGCAACGCCGCGUGAAGGAUGAAGUAUUUCGGUAUGUAAACUUCGUAAGAAUGGGAAGAACAAAUGACGGUACCAUUUGUAAGCCCCGGCUAACUACGUGCCAGCAGCCGCGGUAAUACGUAGGGGGCAAGCGUUGUUCGGAUUUACUGGGCGUAAAGGGCGCGUAGGCGGCGUGACAAGUCACUUGUGAAAUCUCCGGGCUUAACUCGGAACGGCCAAGUGAUACUGUCGUGCUAGAGUACAGAAGGGGCAAUCGGAAUUCUUGGUGUAGCGGUGAAAUGCGUAGAUAUCAAGAGGAACACCUGAGGUGAAGACGGGUUGCUGGGCUGAUACUGACGCUGAGGCGCGAAAGCUAGGGUAGCAAACGGGAUUAGAUACCCCGGUAGUCCUAGCCCUAAACGAUGAAUACUUGGUGUCUGGAGUUUUUAUCCUCCGGGUGCCGUCGCUAACGUUUUAAGUAUUCCGCCCUGGGGAGUACGCACGCAAGUGUGAAACUCAAAGGAAUUGACGGGGACCCGCACAAGCGGUGGAGCAUGUGGUUUAAUUCGACGCACCGCGAAAACCUUACCUGGACU
Molecule: ribosomal RNA, 902 nt
Filed under: uncultured Bacillota bacterium
Lineage: Bacteria; Bacillati; Bacillota
Description: bacterial SSU rRNA
Rfam family: Bacterial small subunit ribosomal RNA
Source: RNAcentral